RNAcentral lists this ribosomal RNA (520 nucleotides) under uncultured bacterium. RNAcentral's name for it is "bacterial SSU rRNA". It matches the Rfam family "Bacterial small subunit ribosomal RNA", at positions 791 to 1311 of the family's 1533-position model. The record is from RNAcentral.
UAGUCCACGCCGUAAACGUUGGAUACUAGGUGUGGUGUCCCGAUUAACGGUCGCCGUGCCGAAGCUAACGCAUUAAGUAUCCCGCCUGGGGAGUACGGCCGCAAGGCUAAAACUCAAAGGAAUUGACGGGUCCCCGCACAAGCGGCGGAGCAUGCGGCUUAAUUCGAUGCAACCCGAAGAACCUUACCUGGGUUUGACAUCGACGGGAAAAGCUGUAGAAAUACAGUGUCCAUUAGGGCCCGUGACAGGUGGUGCAUGGCUGUCGUCAGCUCGUGUCGUGAGAUGUUGGGUUAAGUCCCGCAACGAGCGCAACCCUUGUCCUAUGUUGCCAGCGGUUCGGCCGGGGACUCAUAGGAGACUGCCGGGGAUAACUCGGAGGAAGGUGGGGACGACGUCAAGUCAUCAUGCCCCUUAUAUCAGGGCUGCACGCAUGCUACAAUGGCCAGUACAACGGGCAGCGAUCUCGCGAGAGUGAGCGAAUCCCUUAAAGCUGGCCCCAGUUCGGAUUGAAGUCUGCAAC